AUAUGAUUUCAGCUCUUUUAGUAUUUGUCCAGUAGGUUUCCCGCUGUGUGGGAAGCCCCA
This 60-nucleotide small nuclear RNA is filed under the name Phaethon lepturus (White-tailed tropicbird). RNAcentral's name for it is "U7 small nuclear RNA". It matches the Rfam family "U7 small nuclear RNA". Rfam says of the family: Animal histone pre-mRNAs are spliced by a different mechanism than nuclear pre-mRNAs and self-splicing introns. Lineage: Eukaryota; Metazoa; Chordata; Aves; Phaethontiformes; Phaethontidae. The record is from Rfam by way of RNAcentral.